UCAUCUCCGGGGGUAGAGCACUGUUUCGGCUAGGGGGCCAUCCCGGCUUACCAACCCGAUGCAAACUGCGAAUACCGGAGAAUGUUAUCACGGGAGACACACGGCGGGUGCUAACGUCCGUCGUGAAGAGGGAAACAACCCAGACCGCCAGCUAAGGUCCCAAAGUCAUGGUUAAGUGGGAAACGAUGUGGGAAGGCCCAGACAGCCAGGAUGUUGGCUUAGAAGCAGCCAUCAUUUAAAGAAAGCGUAAUAGCUCACUGGUCGAGUCGGCCUGCGCG
This 278-nucleotide ribosomal RNA is filed under the name Salmonella enterica subsp. enterica. RNAcentral's name for it is "partial 23S ribosomal RNA". It matches the Rfam family "Bacterial large subunit ribosomal RNA", at positions 890 to 1165 of the family's 2925-position model. RNAcentral also lists the same sequence under 1 other name. Lineage: Bacteria; Pseudomonadati; Pseudomonadota; Gammaproteobacteria; Enterobacterales; Enterobacteriaceae. The record is from RNAcentral.